GCCUGAAUAGCUCAGUUGGUUACAGCGUGAUGCUGUUAAUGCCAAUGUUGCAGGUUUGAUCCCCAUAUGGGACA
Molecule: non-coding RNA, 74 nt
Organism: Podarcis lilfordi (Lilford's wall lizard)
Lineage: Eukaryota; Metazoa; Chordata; Lepidosauria; Squamata; Lacertidae
Source: the annotation of a GenBank genome assembly